Molecule: ribosomal RNA, 305 nt
Filed under: uncultured bacterium
Lineage: Bacteria
Description: bacterial SSU rRNA
Rfam family: Bacterial small subunit ribosomal RNA
Source: RNAcentral
CAUUGCCUACGGGGGGCAGCAGUGGGGAAUAUUGCACAAUGGGGGGAACCCUGAUGCAGCGACGCCGCGUGGGUGAAGGAGCACCUCGGUGCGUAAAGCCCUAUCGGCAGGGAAGAAACAGACGGUACCUGACUAAGAAGCCCUGGCUAACUACGUGCCAGCAGCCGCGGUAAUACGUAGGGGGCAAGCGUUAUCCGGAUUCACUGGGUGUAAAGGGAGCGUAGACGGCCAUGCAAGCCUGGAGUGAAAGCCCGGGGCCCAACCCCGGGACUGCUCUGGGAACUGUGCGGCUGGAGUGCGGGAGG